Molecule: RNA transcript, 5109 nt
Organism: Neodiprion fabricii
Lineage: Eukaryota; Metazoa; Arthropoda; Insecta; Hymenoptera; Diprionidae
Gene: gem
Gene name: transcription factor CP2-like protein 1
Exons: 13
Source: RefSeq, a predicted model, not a curated record
AGGACGUUUUGCCAAAUCGAAGGUUAGAAGAAAUAAAAAAAAAAGAAAAUAGAUAGCAGAAGAAGAAGAAGAAGAAGAAAUAGAAGAAGAAGAAGAAAUUGUAGCGCGAAACACACUAACUCACAAAUAGUAACGUCAUACACACGCAAAAACAUACACAAGUAGAAACAAUAAAGUUCAUACUGCGCGUAGGUAGAAAAAAAAAGAUCCUUUAUAGAAAGAAACUCGAGUACAUAUUGGUGUAGAAGAGAAAGAUAAGGAGAAAGAAGAUAAAAGAAAGAAGUAGAGCCUUAGAGCGUGCGGAAUAAUUUUAAUUUAGUGGAAAAACAAAAACAAAGUAAAGCUGAAACUAGUAAUAACAAAAAGAAACAAAGUAAAAGCGUGUAUAGAAUUGAUCGAUAGAGAGAAAAAUUUCCAUACGGCAAGGAGAAGAGAAAAUCGAAUAUCAAGCGACGUCGGCGAUAGAUGAAAAAAUACCGAGCAAGAAUUGCUUGAAAAUAAAAAAAAAAAGAAAAGGAAAAACGAAACAAAAAAAAAAAAAAAACAAUCCUCAAUUUACGCGACCAUUGAAAAGUAUGAAAAUUUUCCAUAAUCUAUUAAUACGAUAUUAAAAAGCGAUACAAAGAGGAAGAAUAGAAAACCGUACGUAAUCGUCACAAAUCUAAAAUUUUGUUAAAAAAAUUGUUAAACCCUGAUGAAACAGCGUUGUGAAAAAUUUAAAUUCCCACCGAAGCUAAUCAAUUUCACAAACCGUUCACCAAAAAUCGUCCGACCGUUUGAAUAAUUUUUUGAAAAAACGUCGCAAAGUGCUUAUAGUUUUAAACAUUUAUUCUUCAACUUGCAACAAGAAAUAAGGAAGAGAGACAAGUGAGAGAGAGAGAGAGAGAGAGAGAGAGUGAGAGAGAGUGGGAAAUAAAACAUCAAAGAUUCGUUGAAAAAAAUUCGAAAGAAUUAGUAAAUCCGCAGAGCGUCAAGAGAGGGGGGAAAAAAAAAAAAAAAAACAAACUAAUCGGGGAAAAACGAAACGCCAAAUCAUUCGAAUGGAGUUACACCUGAUUCUGGACGGUGGCGUUGGUACACUUAACGACGAGAUGUGGCUCGAAAAUUCAUCAUCGCCACCGUACGACGAAGAUCAUGAUCUACAAUCACCGAAUCACGAAAGUAUAGCCGGAACGAUCACCGUACAGCAGACGGGACUUCAACGAUCUAAUGGUUACAACAGUCCGGCUAUGAUAAAUUGGGAGGAUAAAACCGAAUCGCCAAAUUAUUCACCAGUUCCAUCCGAACAAACAGUAUCAGCAGCAGUGACAGCAGCCGGGGUCGCAACAUCGUCGUCGUCGUCGUCGUCGUCGUCAUCGUCAGCAUCGUCAUCGUCACCGACGGCGGAUCCAACCGCCGGAUCCGGAUUGAUAAUAAUUCGUUCGAGCAGUUCGUCGCCCCGUGAAUUUCAUCAACAAUCUGGACCGUUGCAACAACAACAGCGGCACGUGAAUAAUGACAACAACGUAUCCUCCCACCCAAACAGCAACAACAACAACAACAAUCGUAAUCAUCAUCAUCAUCAUCAUCAGAGACAACAGAUCGUACUGCAGGAAAAUUCAUUGAAACGUCGUUCGGUCGAUAACAUUCAACAAAUCGGUGAACAUAUCGAACAUAAAUUGGUAAAAAAAGACACCUCGCUGAGCAACGACUCGAGACAGGGAUGGUCGACGCAGGUCGAAGAUCUCGCCGAGCAUCUAGCCGCCGAUUUCGAUGGUUCGCUGUCGGUUUUAGCGGCAUCGGAUUUGGCCACCGCGGUAGCAUCGUACAACAUGGGCGAGGCGCUGCUGGGCUUGCCGUCAUUGACAGUUUUCAAACAGGAAGCACCGUCGCCCGAAAAUCAUCACAACAAUCCAAGUUUGAAUCAUGUGUCGCAACGCGGUAUCAACAUUCAAACCGGAAACGGACCAUCCGUCGUCGGAGUCAUGGAGGCUGACAGUAACAACAACAACAACAACGGUCACAACGGUACGGGACAAACGGCCAACAGUCUUCACCAGCUCUUGUACUCGAACGACAACGAAUACUCGGCGACAUCCGGUGUCGGUAAUCAGGUGUCAUCGUCGCAGCAGGGAAUCGAGUGCAACGAAGAUUGCAGAUUCCAGUACGUAUUGGCGGCUGCAACCAGUAUAGCGACAAAAAUAAACGAGGAAACUUUGACCUAUCUGAAUCAGGGUCAAUCGUACGAGAUCAAGCUGAAGAAACUGGGUGAUUUGUCCGGUUAUCGUGGAAAAAUUUUAAAGGGAUACCCGACAUUUUUGUUCCAGUCCUCGAUAAGGAUAUGCUUUCACGAGCGCCGCCUCCAGUACACCGAACGCGAACAAAUGCUCGCCUGGCAGAGAACGAGGCCCGGCGAACGUCUCCUCGAAGUCGACGUACCCCUGAGCUACGGCAUAGUCGACAUCCGUCAGCCCUCGCCCUCCAGCAACGUCGUGGAAUUCAUGUGGGACCCAACCAAGGAGGUCGGGGUUUACAUCAAGGUCAACUGCAUAAGCACGGAAUUCACCCCUAAGAAACACGGGGGUGAGAAAGGCGUCCCCUUCCGCAUCCAGGUGGAGACGCGCGUAGCGGGAGGAACGAGGCUUCACGCAGCCUCCUGCCAGGUCAAAGUAUUCAAGCUGAAGGGAGCCGACCGUAAGCAUAAACAGGAUCGCGACAAGGUGUUCAGGAGGCCUCCCCACGAACAGGACAAGUACCAGCCCAGCUACGACUGCACCGUACUUUCGGACAUUCCACUCGAUUGUUUGACCUCGCCGAGUCCAGAUCCACAAAACGACGGCAGUCCCUUUGCUCCGAGCGAUGCAGCAACGCCGCAGAGUCGAGCAGCAAUGGGAGGCAGUUCGUCACCGGUCGCAGGUCCGAUACCGAUGUCGGUAAAUUCGUCAGGAGUGUUACCACUGGUAUCCGGAAACCCGGAAACGGCAAAAGAAUCUACAAGCCCAGCAUCGUCCGUAUCGUCACCGGCCACCAUUUUACCCGAACAAUCUUGCGUCGAAAUGAACACAACGACGUCGCCAACGUCCUUAUCGCCGGAGGCAAACGCGUCACAGACGAGCAGCUGGUUGAGAGCCGGUCGUUUCCACUCGUUCGAAUCAACGUUCGCUAGUUUCUCAGCAUCGGACAUACUGAGAUUAUCGCGCGACGAUUUGAUCCAGAUAUGCGGCCUGGCCGACGGUAUCCGGCUGUUCAACGCCCUGCACUCGAAGCCACCCUCGCCGAGAUUGACCCUCUACCUUUCGGCGGAAGGUAGUGGCGCCCUCUGGAGGGCCGUUUACCUCGACACCCUGACCAGCAGCGCCCUAGCCGUCAAAGUUCACACCGCCCUCGGAGCCCACGGACCCCCCCAAGACAGACUGCACUCGGUGGUCAUACUCGGACCCCAGGGAAUCCACGUUCUCGUGACCGACGAUCUCGUCGCCAACAUGAAGGACGAGAGCAUGUACGUCGUAGAGACCGUAAAAGACGCGAACAGCGAUCGUUACAAAAUACUUCUGAAACCAUCGUCGCGUUGAGAAUAAUAUCCAUAGUUGUUUCACCCCCUUAAUAACGAUAGAGAUCUGCUGCGUAUACCUGAAUCUUCCGAACAUCCAAAUCGACCAAGAUUAUAAACGAGAAAUCAGAUGACGAGAUGAACAGCUAAAGAAGAACACAACGGCGAUUUCAGUAUUACAACGCUCGAAGGGAAGAAUAAUAAUUGGACGGCAGCUGGUCUUCUGUGACGGUAUGAUAAAAAUGUGAUAAAGCGAGCUUAUAUUGCAUGCCCUUAUGCAUGUAUAAAAAUAUCGGCAAGGAAUUACGAUUUAUAUGUUAUAUAAUAAAUCAAGUUCUAAAUAUGAUGUAUGAAAAGUUAAAGAUAUUCAAGUAGCGCCUAUAAUUGUUGAAAAUUAUUAUAAUGUAUUGAUCUAUAUCGAAAAACGAAGAAAGAAAAAAAAAUAAUUUCAUUACAAUAUAUUUGAAUUUACCUUAUUGCAUUAUUAUAUUAUUGGCAUUCGAGUUGUAGUUUAAAAUGCGGAAAACGAAAAUCGCGGUUAUAUUGUGCAAGUUAAAAUUUAUCAAGGCGAAGCAUCCGGUGUUGCUUUAAAUAAAAAAAGAAUACCCGAUAUUUAUGUUCACAUAACUUUACUAGAGUAUAUAAUAUACAUAUAUAUGCUUUUAUAAUUUAUUAUCAUUAUUAUUAUUAUUAUUAUUAUUAUUAUCUAUUCUUGGCUUCCACGUGCACAUACAUACAUAUAUAUAUAUAUAUUAUAUAGGUAUAUACGCAAAAUAGAUAUGAUUCUACACCGUUAUUAACAAAUCGCACACAAACACAUCAUACGCCAACUUGUUACUACUUUUUACAUAUUUAUCGAACUAUAAAUAGGUAUGUAUGUAUGUAUAGUACAUACUUAUACAUGGUUGCUUGACUGACCGGUUUUUCAUUUUUCAUUAAACAAUUUUGAAAUUAUAAAGAUGUAGGAAGAAAAAAAAUUAAAAAAAAAAAUAAAACAACCAAAAAUAGUCUUUAUAUUAUUAAAAUUGGAUAAUAUAAAUAAAGGGACACGAUGCGUGUUGUAACAUGUCGCCAAUUAUACUCGCAUCCUACAAUAUCAUGUCAACGUUAAUAAUGAGAAAAUCAAAAUAGUAGUAAGACAAAAAAAAACAAAAAAACAAAAAAAUAAGUUCCCCGCUGUAGUGCCGAUAAUUUAAACAUAAAUUACAAACCCGGGAAAGGAAUAUUUGCAUGCGUAUUUUACCUGUAUGCAUAAGUAUUGUGAGUAUAUAAUUGUCGAUAUGUGUAUUGCGUGAUGUCGAUUUUAUCAAAGCUCGCGCGAUUUCAAAUAUUUAUAUGUUUACUUUUGAGUUUAGAAACUUGAUAGAUUAAAACCGAAUAAUUACCAACAGUAAUAAUAAUCAUUGACUCCUAAAAAUUUCUUCUCUUUUUUUUCUUUCUUACUAGAUAAAGAGAGAAUAUUAUAGCCAUUUAUUAUGAUAAUCCGGUGCCUUAUAUAAUGAUUAUUUAUACAUAUUGUACACAUAUGUAAUACACGAAAUACACCCAACGAUACGUAAUAUUAGAAGAUAAAAAAAAUU